Molecule: ribosomal RNA, 1278 nt
Filed under: uncultured bacterium
Lineage: Bacteria
Description: bacterial SSU rRNA
Rfam family: Bacterial small subunit ribosomal RNA
Source: RNAcentral
AGAGUUUCUUCCUGGCUCAGGACGAACGCUGGCGGCGUGCCUAAUACAUGCAAGUAGAACGCUGAAGACUUUAGCUUGCUAAAGUUGGAAGAGUUGCGAACGGGUGAGUAACGCGUAGGUAACCUGCCUACUAGCGGGGGAUAACUAUUGGAAACGAUAGCUAAUACCGCAUAACAGCAUUUAACCCAUGUUAGAUGCUUGAAAGGAGCAAUUGCUUCACUGGUAGAUGGACCUGCGUUGUAUUAGCUAGUUGGUGAGGUAACGGCUCACCAAGGCGACGAUACAUAGCCGACCUGAGAGGGUGAUCGGCCACACUGGGACUGAGACACGGCCCAGACUCCUACGGGAGGCAGCAGUAGGGAAUCUUCGGCAAUGGGGGCAACCCUGACCGAGCAACGCCGCGUGAGUGAAGAAGGUUUUCGGAUCGUAAAGCUCUGUUGUAAGAGAAGAACGUGUGUGAGAGUGGAAAGUUCACACAGUGACGGUAACUUACCAGAAAGGGACGGCUAACUACGUGCCAGCAGCCGCGGUAAUACGUAGGUCCCGAGCGUUGUCCGGAUUUAUUGGGCGUAAGGCGAGCGCAGGCGGUUUAAUAAGUCUGAAGUUAAAGGCAGUGGCUUAACCAUUGUUCGCUUUGGAAACUGUUAGACUUGAGUGCAGAAGGGGAGAGUGGAAUUCCAUGUGUAGCGGUGAAAUGCGUAGAUAUAUGGAGGAACACCGGUGGCGAAAGCGGCUCUCUGGUCUGUAACUGACGCUGAGGCUCGAAAGCGUGGGGAGCAAAUCAGAAAGAGAUACCCUGGUAGUCCACGCCGUAAAACGAUGAGUGCUAGGUGUUAGGCCCUUUCCGGGGCUUAGUGCCGCAGCUUACGCAUUAAGCACUCCGCCUGGGGAGUACGACCGCAAGGUUGAAACUCAAAGGAAUUGACGGGGGCCCGCACAAGCGGUGGAGCAUGUGGUUUUAUUCGAAGCACCGCGAAGAACCUUACCAGGUCUUGACACCCCGAUGCUAUUCCUAGAGAUAGGAAGUUUCUUCGGAACAUCGGUGACAGGUGGUGCAUGGUUGUCGUCAGUUAGUGUCGUGAGAUGUUGGGUUAAGUCCCGCAACGAGCGCAACCCUUAUUGUUAGUUGCCAUCAUUCAGUUGGGCACUCUAGCGAGACGGCCGGUAAUAAACCGGAGGAAGGUGGGGAUGACGUCUAAUCAUCACGCCCCUUAUGACCCGGGCUACACAUGUGCUUCAAUGGUUGGUACAACGAGUCGCGAGUCGGCGACGGCAAGC